CCUACGGGCGGCAGCAGUGGGGAAUAUUGGACAAUGGGGGCAACCCUGAUCCAGCCAUGCCGCGUGUGUGAAGAAGGCCCUCGGGUUGUAAAGCACUUUCAGUGAGGAAGAACGCCUGGUGGUUAAUACCCAUCAGGAAAGACAUCACUCACAGAAGAAGCACCGGCUAACUCCGUGCCAGCAGCCGCGGUAAUACGGAGGGUGCGAGCGUUAAUCGGAAUUACUGGGCGUAAAGCGCGCGUAGGUGGCUUGAUAAGCCGGUUGUGAAAGCCCCGGGCUCAACCUGGGAACGGCAUCCGGAACUGUCAAGCUAGAGUGCAGGAGAGGAAGGUAGAAUUCCCGGUGUAGCGGUGAAAUGCGUAGAGAUCGGGAGGAAUACCAGUGGCGAAGGCGGCCUUCUGGACUGACACUGACACUGAGGUGCGAAAGCGUGGGUAGCAAACAGGAUUAAAUACCCUUGUAGUC
This 465-nucleotide ribosomal RNA is filed under the name Vreelandella stevensii. Its description in RNAcentral is "partial 16S ribosomal RNA". It matches the Rfam family "Bacterial small subunit ribosomal RNA", at positions 338 to 795 of the family's 1533-position model. The record is from RNAcentral. Lineage: Bacteria; Pseudomonadati; Pseudomonadota; Gammaproteobacteria; Oceanospirillales; Halomonadaceae.